RNAcentral lists this ribosomal RNA (253 nucleotides) under uncultured bacterium. Its description in RNAcentral is "partial 16S ribosomal RNA". It matches the Rfam family "Bacterial small subunit ribosomal RNA", at positions 524 to 776 of the family's 1533-position model. The record is from RNAcentral.
UACAGAGGGUGCAAGCGUUGUUCGGAAUUACUGGGCGUAAAGCGUGCGUAGACGGUCAUGUAAGUCGGGGGUGAAAUCCCGGGGCUCAACCUCGGAAUUGCCUUCGAUACUGUCUGUCUUGAGUCCGGGAGAGGUGAGUGGAAUUCCUAGUGUAGAGGUGAAAUUCGUAGAUAUUCGGAAGAACACCAGUGGCGAAGGCGACUCACUGGCCCGAUACUGACGCUGAGGCGCGAAAGCGUGGGGAGCAAACAGG